This 116-nucleotide ribosomal RNA is filed under the name Acidithiobacillus sp. HP-2. RNAcentral's name for it is "partial 23S ribosomal RNA". The stretch from base 1 to 102 matches the Rfam family "Bacterial large subunit ribosomal RNA", at positions 2824 to 2925 of the family's 2925-position model. The record is from RNAcentral. Lineage: Bacteria; Pseudomonadati; Pseudomonadota; Acidithiobacillia; Acidithiobacillales; Acidithiobacillaceae.
CCCCUGAAGGGCCGUGGAAGACCACCACGUUGAUAGGCUCCAUGUGGAAGCGCAGUAAUGCGUGCAGCUAAGGAGUACUAAUCGCCCGUGCGGCUUGACCAUAUAUCACCCAAGCA